AUGCUUCUUUCUGGUUUUCUUUCCUGGUUCCUCCUCUCUCAUCUGUCUUAUCCUGCUCUCCUCCAUCACGUCAUUCUGUGUUUCUCCUUCGUCCUCUGUCUCUCCGCCCCUCCCGACUGGCUAAUCAUGUGCCGUGUGUAUUUCGGACUCCAGGGCGACGUGGGUCUGCCAGGACCCAGUGGUACUCCGGGCGACGGGUCGCUAAUCAGCGAACAAACUCUCAUUAUCUACAAAGGAGAUAAGGGUGAACCUGGACCAAAGGGAGGCAGAGGAUUCCCUGGCAAUCCUGGCCUACCUGGGCCUUUUGGCUAUCAGGGUGAAACCGGAGAGAAGGGCAUUCCUGGAUAUCCUGGUGGAAGAGUAAGAGCUGAAGCUUCACUGUAUAAUUGUGUUUGUGUUGAAUGGCAGUAAAUGAGUAAAACGUCUUGUUUUGCCUUAUAAAUGCUAACAUCAGGAAAGAGGUUUCAGAGCGGCAUCAUCUUUGUUACGUCUUUUAUUGUCUUUCUUUAAGUUCAGACAUAUCUCUAACCCCAGCUUUUUCUCUUCUUCUGUGGUGGAUCUUGUCUGCAACUCCAUCAAAAAGGGUUCUCCUGGUUUUAACGGACCCCCCGGCAGCCCAGGAGAACAGGGAUUCAGAGGAUCGCCAGGUUUCCCAGGGCAACCGGGAUACAUAGGACGCAAGGGAGACCAGGGAGACCCCGGACCCCCAGGACCUACUACGUUUAGUAAUGAGAUUGGAACGUCCCUGCAAGGACAACCAGGGGACGGAGGUCUCAAUGGCCUGCCUGGCAUCCCAGGUGCCCAGGGAGCUCCAGGCUUCCCAGGACAACCAGGCCUGCCGGGAACACUAACUAGUAAGUGACCUGAAAAGUGGAAAAACUUAAAUCUUUAAGCAGUGACUCAGACUGUUGUCUGUGAAACUUUUUAUGUUUUUGUAUUUUU
This 942-nucleotide long non-coding RNA is filed under the name Betta splendens (Siamese fighting fish). RNAcentral's name for it is "lncRNA (ENSBSLG00000013429.1)". Lineage: Eukaryota; Metazoa; Chordata; Actinopteri; Anabantiformes; Osphronemidae. The record is from RNAcentral.